Molecule: ribosomal RNA, 279 nt
Filed under: uncultured bacterium
Lineage: Bacteria
Description: partial 16S ribosomal RNA
Rfam family: Bacterial small subunit ribosomal RNA
Source: RNAcentral
UGCCAGCCGCCGCGGUAAUACGGAGGGGACUAGCGUUGUUCGGAAUUACUGGGCGUAAAGCGCACGUAGGCGGAUCAGUCAGUUAGGGGUGAAAUCCCAGGGCUCAACCCUGGAACUGCCUCUAAUACUGCUGGUCUAGAGAUCGAGAGAGGUGAGUGGAAUUCCGAGUGUAGAGGUGAAAUUCGUAGAUAUUCGGAGGAACACCAGUGGCGAAGGCGACUAACUGGACUGAUACUGACGCUGAGGUGCGAAAGUGUGGGGAGCAAACAGGAUUAGAUA